Molecule: ribosomal RNA, 492 nt
Filed under: uncultured bacterium
Lineage: Bacteria
Description: bacterial SSU rRNA
Rfam family: Bacterial small subunit ribosomal RNA
Source: RNAcentral
GAUCCUGGCUCAGAUUGAACGCUGGCGGAAUGCUUUACACAUGCAAGUCGAACGGUAGAGGGGGCAACCCCUUGAGAGUGGCGAACGGGUGAGUAAUAUAUCGGAACGUGCCCAGUCGUGGGGGAUAACGUAGCGAAAGCUACGCUAAUACCGCAUACGAUCUAUGGAUGAAAGCGGGGGAUCGCAAGACCUCGCGCGAUUGGAGCGGCCGAUAUCAGAUUAGGUAGUUGGUGAGGUAAAGGCUCACCAAGCCGACGAUCUGUAGCUGGUCUGAGAGGACGACCAGCCACACUGGGACUGAGACACGGCCCAGACUCCUACGGGAGGCAGCAGUGGGGAAUUUUGGACAAUGGGCGCAAGCCUGAUCCAGCAAUGCCGCGUGCAGGAUGAAGGCCUUCGGGUUGUAAACUGCUUUGUACGGAACGAAACGGUGAGCUCUAAUACAGUUUGCUAAUGACGGUACCGUAAGAAUAAGCACCGGCUAACUACGUG